Molecule: ribosomal RNA, 376 nt
Filed under: uncultured bacterium
Lineage: Bacteria
Description: partial 16S ribosomal RNA
Rfam family: Bacterial small subunit ribosomal RNA
Source: RNAcentral
CCUACGGGAGGCAGCAGUGGGGAAUAUUGCGCAAUGGGCGAAAGCCUGACGCAGCGACGCCGCGUGUGGGAAGACGGUCCUCUGGAUUGUAAACCACUGUCCCCAGGGACGAAGAUGACGGUACCUGGGGAGGAAGCUCCGGCUAACUACGUGCCAGCAGCCGCGGUAAUACGUAGGGAGCGAGGGUUGUCCGGAAUUACUGGGUGUAAAGGGAGCGUAGGCGGGGAUGCAAGUUGGGUGUCAAAACUACCGGCUCAACUGGUAGUCGCACUCAAAACUGCAGCUCUUGAGUGAAGUAGAGGCAGGCGGAAUUCCUAGUGUAGCGGUGAAAUGCGUAGAUAUUAGGAGGAACACCAGUGGCGAAGGCGGCCUGCUG